UAACGGAACCCAUAAUGCAGCUGUAAUUUCAGAGGUCCAGCUGGUUAUGGGGUCCGUUUCCA
Molecule: microRNA precursor, 62 nt
Filed under: Tetraodon nigroviridis (spotted green pufferfish)
Lineage: Eukaryota; Metazoa; Chordata; Actinopteri; Tetraodontiformes; Tetraodontidae
Description: Tni-Mir-191_pre stem-loop
Source: RNAcentral